AACGCUAGCUACAGGCUUAACACAUGCAAGUCGAGGGGCAGCGGGAUUGAAGCUUGCUUCAAUUGCCGGCGACCGGCGCACGGGUGAGUAACGCGUAUCCAACCUUCCGUACACUCAGGGAUAGCCUUUCGAAAGAAAGAUUAAUACCUGAUGGUAUGAUGAGAUUGCAUGAUAGCAUCAUUAAAGAUUCAUCGGUGUACGAUGGGGAUGCGUUCCAUUAGGUAGUAGGCGGGGUAACGGCCCACCUAGCCGACGAUGGAUAGGGGUUCUGAGAGGAAGGUCCCCCACAUUGGAACUGAGACACGGUCCAAACUCCUACGGGAGGCAGCAGUGAGGAAUAUUGGUCAAUGGACGAGAGUCUGAACCAGCCAAGUAGCGUGAAGGAUGAAGGUCCUACGGAUUGUAAACUUCUUUUAUAAGGGAAUAAAACCUCCCACGUGUGGGAGCUUGUAUGUACCUUAUGAAUAAGCAUCGGCUAACUCCGUGCCAGCAGCCGCGGUAAUACGGAGGAUGCGAGCGUUAUCCGGAUUUAUUGGGUUUAAAGGGAGCGCAGACGGGUCGUUAAGUCAGCUGUGAAAGUUUGGGGCUCAACCUUAAAAUUGCAGUUGAUACUGGCAGUCUUGAGUGCAGUAGAGGUGGGCGGAAUUCGUGGUGUAGCGGUGAAAUGCUUAGAUAUCACGAAGAACUCCGAUUG
RNAcentral lists this ribosomal RNA (694 nucleotides) under uncultured bacterium. RNAcentral describes it as "bacterial SSU rRNA". It matches the Rfam family "Bacterial small subunit ribosomal RNA", at positions 32 to 715 of the family's 1533-position model. The record is from RNAcentral.